AUUGAACGCUGGCGGCAGGCUUAACACAUGCAAGUCGAACGGUAGCAGGAGAAAGCUUGCUUUCUUGCUGACGAGUGGCGGACGGGUGAGUAAUGCUUGGGAAUCUGGCUUAUGGAGGGGGAUAACUACGGGAAACUGUAGCUAAUACCGCGUAUUAUCGAAAGAUUAAAGUGUGGGACCUUCGGGCCACAUGCCAUAAGAUGAGCCCAAGUGGGAUUAGGUAGUUGGUGGGGUAAAGGCCUACCAAGCCUGCGAUCUCUAGCUGGUCUGAGAGGAUGACCAGCCACACUGGAACUGAGACACGGUCCAG
RNAcentral lists this ribosomal RNA (310 nucleotides) under uncultured Haemophilus sp. RNAcentral's name for it is "bacterial SSU rRNA". It matches the Rfam family "Bacterial small subunit ribosomal RNA", at positions 30 to 334 of the family's 1533-position model. Lineage: Bacteria; Pseudomonadati; Pseudomonadota; Gammaproteobacteria; Pasteurellales; Pasteurellaceae. The record is from RNAcentral.